GGAGGCAGAUACAGAUGGUGAUGGUGUCAUUAGCUUCAAUGAAUUUACUUCUGUAAUGGCAAAGUCUGCCAUGGAAUUCUUAGGCCUGGCUUUGUCAUAACAGAUUGAUGGUAUGUUGUUUUUGGGCAAUCAAUCAAUCAUUAUCAUUAUUAAUUGAUGUCAUUAAUUUUCUUACUAAUCUUAGAUUUUAGGGAUUAAUAGACUUGUUCAUAUAGGCAUCUGUUGGUGGGGGAGAUUCUUU
This 241-nucleotide unclassified non-coding RNA is filed under the name Hevea brasiliensis (rubber tree). The record is from RNAcentral. Lineage: Eukaryota; Viridiplantae; Streptophyta; Magnoliopsida; Malpighiales; Euphorbiaceae.